Non-coding RNA from Pelobates cultripes (western spadefoot toad), 258 nucleotides. The record is from the annotation of a GenBank genome assembly. Lineage: Eukaryota; Metazoa; Chordata; Amphibia; Anura; Pelobatidae.
GUGAGGCUCAGGAACAAGUAAAUAGUAAAUCCACAGGCAAGGUUUCCAGCAGGUAAAAUACAGCAAUAUCCCAACAGCAAUCCCAAUAACUGGACGACACACAGUUUCAGGAGCAUAACUGAAAGCUUUUAAUCCACAGUCUCCUUAUAAAGCAUGCUCCCAUGCAAGGGAGGGAUUUACAAUCAUUAAUACAGUAGCCAAUCCUGUCCUGGUAACCUCCCACACAUCUCCUCCCCUCAGCCAGCAUCAUAAUCCCCU